Molecule: transfer RNA, 84 nt
Filed under: Carnobacterium maltaromaticum
Lineage: Bacteria; Bacillati; Bacillota; Bacilli; Lactobacillales; Carnobacteriaceae
Also listed under: 2 other names
Description: tRNA-Leu
Rfam family: tRNA
About the family: Transfer RNA (tRNA) molecules are approximately 80 nucleotides in length. Their secondary structure includes four short double-helical elements and three loops (D, anti-codon, and T loops).
Source: RNAcentral
GCGGUCAUGGCGGAAUGGCAGACGCGCCAGCUUGAGGGGCUGGUAGGGAAUCUCCCUGUGUGGGUUCAAAUCCCAUUGACCGCA